This is a long non-coding RNA of Aethalodelphis obliquidens (Pacific white-sided dolphin), 388 nucleotides long. RefSeq lists it as uncharacterized. NCBI's taxonomy places the organism in Eukaryota, Metazoa, Chordata, Mammalia, Artiodactyla, Delphinidae. The transcript is spliced from 3 exons. The record is from RefSeq and is a predicted model, not a curated record.
CGACCCUUCAUCCUGACAACAGCAGUUGUUUCCAUCCCUAGAAGAACCAGCUUCAUCUUACCUUCCUCAGAAACACCAGCACCAGCCAGGCCUAUCUCCUCCUCCAAGGCUGGCAGAGAGAAAAUUGCCCAGGCAACUUCUACUACUAUUUCAGUGAGAGAUGAGUCUUAAGUUUGAAGAUACAGCCCUGAACAAGAAAGAAAAGUUCCCUGCCCAUGAGGAGGUGUCUUUCUCCAGGGGGAAGCAGACAAUAAAUAAAUAGAGUGCCAUGUGAAUAGAACCCAACAAUUCUGGGUCUGGCUUCUUUCACCUUGUAAAAUGCAGGUAAGAUUCGUGCAUGCUAUUUUGUGAGUCAGUAGUUCAUUCUAUUCUAUUGCUGAAAGUAUUC